Molecule: long non-coding RNA, 220 nt
Organism: Vidua chalybeata
Lineage: Eukaryota; Metazoa; Chordata; Aves; Passeriformes; Viduidae
Exons: 2
Source: RefSeq, a predicted model, not a curated record
CAGAGCUCACAGAAGUGAGGUGGGAGGAAGGAAAUACCAGCCACCUGGCUCAUGACACCUUAAGGGUAUCUCGUUGACUGGGUUGGGGCUGGCCAAGAGGCUGGGAGGAGACACAGCUGGGGCAGCUGAGCUGAAUUGACCGAGGCAAUAUUCCAAGCCAUAUAACAUCAUGCCCAUCAAUAAAACUGGAAUGCUGUCUUUCUAAAGCAGCCAUUACUCA